GCUAGUGUGGUGUAGUGGUUUGAGCUCCAACUACGACUCUGGAGAUCGGGGUUCAAUUCCCCACUUGAGCA
Phrynosoma platyrhinos (Desert horned lizard) is the source of this 71-nucleotide non-coding RNA. Lineage: Eukaryota; Metazoa; Chordata; Lepidosauria; Squamata; Phrynosomatidae. The record is from the annotation of a GenBank genome assembly.